RNAcentral lists this ribosomal RNA (253 nucleotides) under uncultured bacterium. RNAcentral's name for it is "partial 16S ribosomal RNA". It matches the Rfam family "Bacterial small subunit ribosomal RNA", at positions 524 to 776 of the family's 1533-position model. The record is from RNAcentral.
UACGGAGGGUGCUAGCGUUGUUCGGAAUCACUGGGCGUAAAGGGCGUGUAGGCGGUCUGCUAAGUCUGAUGUGAAAUCCCCUCGCUCAACGAGGGAACUGCGUCGGAUACUGGCAUACUCGAGUACCGGAGAGGAAGGUGGAAUUCCCGGUGUAGCGGUGAAAUGCGUAGAUAUCGGGAGGAACAUCGGUGGCGAAGGCGGCCUUCUGGACGGAUACUGACGCUGAGACGCGAAAGCGUGGGGAGCAAACAGG